GAUGAACGCUGGCGGCGUGCCUAAUACAUGCAAGUCGAGCGAACAGACGAGGAGCUUGCUCCUCUGACGUUAGCGGCGGACGUGUGAGUAACACGUGGAUAACCUACCUAUAAGACUGGGAUACCUUCGGGAAACCGGCUCUAAUUCCGGAUAAUAUAUUAAACCGUCUUGUUCAAUUGUGAAGGACUUUUUUGCUGUCACUUCUCGCUGGAUCCGCGCCGCUUUAGCUAGUUGGUAAGGUCACGGCUUACCAAGGCAAAGAUGCGUAGCCGACCUGAGAGGGUGAUCGGCCAGACUGGAACUGAGACACGGUACAGACGCAUACGGGAGGCAGCAGUAGGGAAUCGGCCGCAAGGGGUGAAAGAUAGACGGAGAAACGCCGCGGGAGGGAGGAGGGUCGUCGGAUCGGAAAACUCUGUUAUUAGGGAAGAACAAAUGUGUAAGUAACAAUGCACGAAUGGAAGGUAACUAAUAAGAAAGGCACGGCUAAAUAAGGG
Molecule: ribosomal RNA, 497 nt
Filed under: uncultured bacterium
Lineage: Bacteria
Description: partial 16S ribosomal RNA
Rfam family: Bacterial small subunit ribosomal RNA
Source: RNAcentral